GAGCAAUGAAUGCUUCCUGCUGAAUGCAGAACUGAUCAAGGGGACUUCUAUUGUUUCUGAUCUCAGCUGGCAUUAGUAUCUAUAAACAAAGCAACUUGUGCUUUUGAGAACAUUCUGAACUAAGACAACCCAUGCUAUAAACAGGUCUCUGUUGACCUAUGAUAUGGUCAACAAUCACCAUGACUACAAAAUGUGUUUUGAGAUUCUGUCUCUGUGAGAGAUCUCUUCACAGAUUUACCUUUCUUGUUCAAGAAAGCCUUCUGACCACAACACUUGUGUAACUACAUCUCUCAACCAGGCAGGCCCUGAAGCACAACAGAGGCUGUUACAGACAUGGGUUAGGUAACUUGCUCACACUAAGACAAGACAACUUGCUAUCCAAACUAUCCAAACUCACCUGCUCCCCAAAAACACAGACCUGCCUCCCACAGUUCUUAGUUUUUUGAUAGGUGCAAUUACAUACAAAAGCUUCUCAGGCAAGUUAAAGGAGAGUACUCCAACUGUGACUCUGGAGCCUACGUAAACUCUUUUGUAAAUAACCAAGUUCACAGCCAUGGCUGAGUGUGAAGGAAGAGAGUGCCUUUGAGGUCCCUUAUGAAAAGAGGGAAAGCAGCUCCUGGCUGCAGCUACAACCUUUCCAAAAUCUUAAUUUAACUGGAUAUUGCAAAGCAUAAUAUAACGAAUUAUUCUGUUUGGUUUCUUAUCAGUAGGUAGGAGGCAAUUGCUCAAGAAGUGGUUAAUAAUGCUAAUGGCAGACAUACAUCCAGAUCUGGGACACCCAGCACAAGAAAUUAGUGGAACUUCUGUUCUGCCUAGAGAAGGUUCUGGGAGGGAGACCUCAUUGUGGCCCUCCAAUACUUAAAGGGAGCUUAUAAUCAGAAUGAAAAUUAACUUUUUAUGUAGGUAGAUAGAAAUUGAAUGAGGGGGAACAGUUUUAGACUAAAAGAGGGGAGAUUUAGUUUAGAUGUCAGGGAGAAGUUUUUCACUGAGGAUGGUGUAGCACUGGCACAACUGCCCAGAGAAGCUGGGGAUGCUGCAUCCCUGGAGGAGCUUGAGGCCAGGCUGGAUGGGGCCCUGGGCAGCCUGAGCUGGUGAGGGGGGCAGCCCUGCCCAUGGUUGGGGUUGAGACUGAAUGGGCUUUAAGGUCCCUUUCAAUUAAUGCUAUUCCGUAAUUCUCUGAUAUUACUUCUGGUGAACAAAACUAAGCCUUUCUUACUGGUGUUUUCUUAGGCUUGUGAGUCCUGUUACCUUCUGUAUGGCUUUUUGGCUGAAGUGUUUUUAAUGAUUCUGAACAUGAAAAGUGUUUUUAAUGUUUGCACAAACUGAAGAAAAAGGUUACUGGAAACAAAAAGCGAUCAUAUAUUAAGAAGUUAAUUCCUUGAGCAAUUAUUUGCCAGGAAACAAAGCCCUUCCAUCCUGAAGCGAUGCUGUGGGCAACAAUGUGACACGGGAGCUAACCAAUGCUUUCUUUUGGCGGGUUGGUCUGGAUCUCCAGAGGUCCCUACCAACAACUCUGUGAUUCUUUUAAUUCAAACAGAUAUGGCCUCAUGUGUUGUAAGCUAGCUUACAACAUAAUUUCAUUCAAGAGAACUGCUUUGAUCCCAGUUCCAGGAUGUCACAGUGCACCUGCUGUACGGAGGUACCCACAGGUCAGCACACCCACGAGUUCUGAGAUGAGGCCCUCGCGGUCCCUACGUGUCACGGGUAACGCGGUUCCCUACACAAGUUACACGGAAACUCGGUUCUGCUUCUCGGAGAAUGACGAUGAUGUGUCAGCACGGAGUUCCCUUGCUACCGCUCCAUUUUUAUCCUUGAAGGCCACCAGAAUUAAACCCAGGGAAAUCCUCUCCUCCGCCUCACGCAGAGCGGGCACGGCGCCGGCGGGCACAGAGCCCGGAGCGGCCGGCCUUACGGCCCUGCUUCCCUCACCGAGCGGCUGAAGGACACGGCGGCGAGAGCCGCAGAUGCGCCACGUUACUCGAGGCCUUCCUCGGGAGUCGGAGGCCCGUCCCACCCGCCAGGCCUACUCAGCCCGGCGGUGCCGCCACCCACCUUCAUGGGAUCGGCGAGGUAGAGCUUCUCCGCGGCGCGAGUGAACUCCUCCCAGGCCUGGUAGUGCGGCAUGGCGGGGCCGACACGGCGACUCGCUGCCCGCCGCUACGCUUCGUUCCGCUCCUCCCGGCGCCGGCAAGAUGGCGCCGUAGGCGGGCACCGCCUCACCGCGAAAGGACGCCUCCCAUUGGCCGGCGGGAAGCGGCUGCCCAAUCACGAAGUGCGUGACUCAGAGAUUGCGGCCCGGCCAGGAUAGCGCAGUCAACACAGCGACCCCGCCGGGAGCGGCGGGCUGCGGAAAGGCUGACGCUGGUGGCGGCACCGCCUUCUCCGAGGGUUCCCCGGUUCGAGUCCCGCGGCAGCCCGACGUUGGGCGCUCCGUGGGGGCCGUUCCCUCGCUGGCUGACGGGAUCCGGCCGUGAGGGAGUGCGUGUGGCCCGGUCACUGGUACCCAUGGAGGAGUGUGGGAACUGGGCAUUAGCUCCAGCCUAGCGUGUGAGCAGUGCCACAAACAGCGAAAUUAAAGGGAAAAUAUGGGCAUGGUGUUUGCUGGUAGUUUUGCUGUCAUGCUGCUUGAGAACCCACCUUCAGAAACGUGUCGACUUCCAGAUCAACAGCUCUUAUCAAAGGCGAUAGAGAGAUUGGCAGAGUCUGAACCAGCUCUCCAAACACAGAACCUACCCUGGAGGGAACGCUCCUCUGUCAUCUUACAUCUGGGGCAGCCAUUUAUAACUGCAGGGUAGGACUUGCUUUAGGUUUUAUAGACAAGAAGGGCUGUAGGUAUGUGACAGUGAAAGGUGUGGGAGGUGCAAACCCUGUAACACAACCCAGCGUUUCACAGAGCCGUGGCACACCAAGUUUGGAAGCUGGCUUUCAAAUCAGACACGGAUCUUUUCUUUCUGCAGGAGGAAUCCCAGGUUUGCAUUGUCUAAUUGGGAGCAGCUUUGGGUUGGUUUUUAGAGGAUUUUCAUCUUAAUGCAAAUGUUCAAGAUCCUCUGUACAUUCUUCAACACGAGAGCUGGCUUAAGAGCUUGUCAGUGCUUGGUUAUUGGCCUCAUCAUCCAUGAUUUCUUCAGUUAAGCCACUGACAGAGAAUGGUUGAGGAAAACACCAUGUUUUGGUAUUUCUUUUUUCUUAACCAACAUAAUUUCCGAGAUCCAGUUUAGGAUGUAGCUUCUAGAAUUCUCAUCUUUAGAGAUGGCGAACUGAGGCAGCCAGGACAAGAAACUGAGAGAGGGAUUUCUUCAUUGCCUUAUCUCUGAAGGAAACGUGGUGUGUCCCUCUGACAGCAGACACACGGUGUGACGUGUGGUUCUACAUAGCGUGUUCUUGGCUGCAGGCUUUAAGGAUUUCCUGCUCUCUGCCACUGCCACCUAUGGCCCCACACUUGUGCUGCCACAGCUGUUUGUGACUCCGAGCUGGGGAUCAAACCAAUGACCUCAAAUGGAUUAAAAGCAGCACCAUUUUUAGUAACACAUUUUUUUUAGUCGAGAUCGGUUCAUUUUUCCAGGUGACUCUAUGACCGUAUGGACUGUUGUGCUGACGUAGCUGUUGCCACCAAAAAAAGGUGCAUUUUCAAGACAGGAUGUGGGAAUUCCUACUGUUUUUGCUGGCUUGGCACCAAAAGCAGGGGGUUGUAUGUGAACACCCCAGCUCUCCUGGAAGAGAAGCUGUUUGCUGAAAUCUCAACAAUUAGAAAGAUAGAUAGGCUAUUUCCAAAACUCAGUGAGUAUCUGAAAGCAGGAGCUGGCGUGCUGCUCCUCUGCGUUCUCAUGUUGACUGAAGAACAGAACAUUUUCCUGACAUGUUUGAAAAGUCACGCAGACCGUUGCAGUUAUUCAUCUGUGAGUUGUAUUUUAUGUGCGUCCAAAACUGUAUUUUUCAAGUGAGUUCUGGCGAAUGCAGUAAUAGUAGAGAUCUUUCAAUGGGCUUUUUGUUUGGUGAAAUAAAAAGAGCAGUUGUUUAUCGCUGUGUGAAAUAUUUGAUAUUUAGCCAAUAAUAAUUUAGCAGUUAGAAAGAAUUCUGCUAAAACACACUUACUUAUCUUGCUUACUUUUCUUGAGCUCCUGCUUUCUUUCAUGCAAGGAAUCAUUCCAGCAGGCCAGUGGCUAUUCUGUCACUAAGUGAAAUUUAGAAUGCUACAAAACCUCACUGACCCUUUCCUCAGUCUCCUUUUAUAUCCUUGCUAUAUCCCCUAGGCCACCUUAGAUAAUGUCUUCUUAGCUUGGAUUUAAGGCCAUAAAGAACUAUGAAGCAAUAAUAUAAGUACUUGCAUGAUGAAGAUUUUUCGUGUGGUUUUCCCUCGGGCCUUUCCCCCUCAUCCAACGCGUAUAUACAUGAUGAAUGAUCUCUCUUUGAUCAUGCUUCUACAUGUAUUGCCACUGCAAGUCCUGCUCUGUGUAGUUAUGUUCAGGCACCUGGAUUCCACAUGGAAAGGUCGUUAUUUUUUUUACAUAGUGUCUUCCUUUGCAUAAAGGGAAAAAAACAAACAAACAAACCUGAAAGAAAACAGUAGAAAAAAACCUUGCACUGUGUCUUAAAAUAUCAUCAACUGAGAUCUUGUGUCUUGAGUUUAGAAAGAUCAUGGAAACUGUAGCUGCUCAGCAUUGCUCAGGGCUCAAUGUUUUGUUCCUGUUUGUUCAUUAAUGCUUUUAUUGAGUCUAAAGCAGGUGCUGUACUACUAUUGGCAAGUGUAUUUUUUCAAGUAAGUGUAUAGAACUCAUUAAAACAGUUCCCUAUCACCAUAGCAUACUGCUGGUGGUUUUUUUCCAGCUGCAAGUAGCUUUGUAUAGAACACUGUGUGUUAUCAUGAUAAAUGAUGGUUGCGAUGGAAAACAACAGGACAAACUCUGAUCUCAGGUGGGUUGGGCUUUUUGUUUUUUCUUUUUUUCAUAUCUGUAACAGUUUAAUUAAGAACAAAAGUUGGUGCUGAGAUGAUGAUGAUGCUGUUCUUGGAACAAGAGCAACAUAAAGUCAGUGGAGGUAUACAGAUCUAAAAAAAGUUCUAAUAAGGAGUUGGUUACGAGGCAAUUAUUCCUGCCAGGAAUGCUUAAUGCUUUAAGGAGAUACAGUCAGUUCUUUCAAAAUACCUUCCCGUGGUGAAAUUAAAGGAAAAGCAUGGGCAUGGUGAUCACACAUUCCAUUCUUGUGUGUGUAUGUUCUAAAACGGCUUGGGAUUUGUACUGAUGCAAGCUUUAAUUAUACGGGCUUAUUUAAGUGCAAAAGGAUGCAGAUAGAUCUCGAGGACAGGAAGCUCAGCAGUCUUUGACAUCUCAUUGGUUUCUGAGCCUCGGUACCCCUGAGAACUGAGUCUGCAGUCAGAAGCAGUUGAUGCUUCUGGAUGGGUUAUAACAUGCCAAACUGAGCUACAGCUUUUUCAUUCUGCAGCUCUUGAAGGAGCACAAAACACACUGCUGCUUUCUAUGGGUUUUAAACAGCUUGGUUAAUGGUUUUGCCAGGCUGAACAGCAUAUGAUUAAUUACAUCAGUGCUAAUUUCCUACCUUUCUUGUACAUAAGCAUUUAAUCAAGUGAUUCAGACUCAUCUUGUCCUAACAACAACAUAAUUAAAUAUUGGUGUAACUGAGCAGAAGUAUGGCUUAUGGCAAUGAAGGCUGUAUGGGGAUGACAGGAUUCUGGGCUGUUGUUCACGAAUCUAUGUUCCCGUCACAGCAACUAGCCAGGAUGAGACCUGAAUGCCCAUUAAUUUCCUUCCUUUUUCCCCAGUGACCUUAUUUCUGAGAAAGGAAACACACUCCAAACAAAUCCCUGGGUCACUGGGGAAUCGGUAGCCUUGGCCGUACCAUCGUCUGUGUUUGCCAUACAUUUUAGCCGUAGCAUUCCCCACGGCAGCAUUAUCUGCUAGUUUGCUCUAACCAUUUGAAAAAAGACACUGGGCAUUUAAUAUGGUUUAGUCUAAUCUUGCUCUAUCUUAGGGUGUUUAUAUAGGUACGUGUCAAUAGCCAUUGCAUGAGCCAGAGGGCUGUCCCUACGUAUGUCCGUGUUGCCAUCCUGGCCUUAAUAGAAACUGCUGUUUCAUUUUUGUAUGCUGUUCUGAUGCAGUUCUUGUUAAGUUCUUUGUUUCUGAUAGCUAGAAAGAUAUAUCCCUUCCUGUUAAGUGGUCAGUUUUACUCCCCUCAGCAUAAUAGUGCAUUUAAAUUAAUGUCUUGUUAUGCAAGAGACAUAUGUUGGAGAGCAGACUGUAUCUUGUCAUAACGUUGACUGUUGAGAUUUGAGAAUGAAAUAGCAGUCCUCACGAUGGCCUUCAGGGUAAAGAGGAGCACAUCUGGUAGACAGCUCAUGGACCAAUAUGUCAAACAGGAAGCAGACAGGCACUCAGCGCUAGCUACUCAGAUUUCAUGUCGUCAUUACAUGAAGUUUCUGUGCAUGCUUAGGAUUGGGUUAGAUCAUCAGUUUGUACAGACUAGAGGUGCACUGAUUUCUUAUGUUAAUCUUUAAAUAGAGACAUUUUCUACUCGAUAGAUGUGUCUGAAGUCUAAUUUACCAGUGAUGUUCAUGCUGCCGUGGCUGAUAGAAUUGAAUAGUACAAUCAAUGGAAUGGACAGGCCAUAUUAGAUGCUUAUGGCGAUACCUUCCGAAGUCAUCUGGACCAAAAUGACUGCAUAGGUGGUAAAAGAACUGUAGGUACUUCUAACUACAUUGAUUUCUAAGACUAAGCUACGUCUCAGCCCAUAAGAUGUUUGAGUACCAUAAGAUUAUUUGAGCAUCCUCGUGAGUUAGCUGUGUUGGUAAAAGGGGUCGGUAGGCCCAGCCACCUGUCAUUGCCUUUUCCCAGGAAUUAAUGCCCUCUCCCAAUCUGUUUACAGAGAUGCUUGUUGUGAGUGCCCCUUAACCCACUUCAAUCAAACUAGGUUAGCAAAAACCUCCCACUUAAUCCAUUUAAGCUAAGUCUGGCUCAGGUUGACCAAAAGUAGGUUAGGGGGUGCCCACACGAGCCUCUGCAGGCAGAGCUGAAGAGGUGGUGAUUUCCACAGGAAGAAAUAGGAUGAGCUGAGCCGGGGAAGUGGAUCUGAAUCAGCAGCUUCUUCUAUCCCCUCAGCUGUGGCGGAAGAGGAUGGAGCGGGGCCUGCUCCACACACAGGGCUGCGCUGGGCCGCUCAGCAGGCAGCACGACAUCUGAAGCUGCAGUAGCACAGCUGUUAUCCCAUACACCCAUUCUCAUCAUCACAACAGUAAAAAAAAAAAAAAAAAAAAAAAGCUUUGUGAAGAGCAGCUGUUGCCUAGAGCGCAGAGCAAAGCCUCUGCGAGCUCCUGCACUUCCACUGAGUGUUGGUUCUUGGUCGAGAGUUGGUGCAGGUGGAGCUCACAAUUGAGUUUGACAAAGUGUCAGAGUAGAUGCUCAGUAUUGGCAUUGCCAGUUCCUAAAACAACCACAGGCAUGCACAUUGCUCCUCUGAUGCCUACAGUAUGGCAGCUUCCGAUAGAAUAUAUCUGAUACAGAGCUUGUGUAGCUGUCAGGCUUGCAGGCCCACAUAGAGCAUAUGCAAAAGCUGGGAUCUGAGCUGGAAGUGCUUCCGUACUUCCAACAUAUGGUGUUGCUGUUACGAUCCCUGUCAAGGAAAUAGCAAGCAUUUACCUGGCCCAUCAACAGGCUUUAGUCUGCAGGGAAAUUUUAACUUCAAAUCUCUAAGUCUAGCAUUUUCAUAACAUUUGGAGAUGUUGAAAAUAGGAAAGGGGAGCUCGGUAGGGUAUAGGUGUGGGAGCAGGGAGAAUGUUGUAUAAAUGAUACGUCAGGGCUGUGACUUUGUACCAAAGGGCUCGUUCCUCACAAGAUUUGAAGUGUGUCCUGACCACUGCAUCCUUGAUAAAGUAUUUUCCUCUCUACAUUAGCAACUUUUAUUAUUAUUAUUAUUGUUAUCACCCAAAUCAAAUAAGUCAAAAUCCAAGCGAUCUACUUUAGGAAUGAAUUAGAAAGCAUCUGCUUCUUUCAUGAGGCAGAAUUUUAGGGGUUGCACAGGUGUCAGAAACAUGUAUGAAAGGAUUGUGAGUGAAUGAGGAAAUACCUACUGCUCUCUUCGUUUUAGGGUGGAGAGGAAGAUGAGAGGCCUGCAGGAAACUCACAGCCUGGUGCUGACGCUCCCUCCCCAUCUCCCAGCCUGCUACCUCCUGCUGGAUGGGAGGAAUGGGAGCUGGGAAUGGUAGCUGCAUGUUUUCUGAGGAAUCUCUAUACCAGAUCUCUAUUUAUCAGGAUUCAGCCAAUCAGUGUCCCCUCUAAGCGGCACAAAGAGAUGAGGCAAGGCAGCGCAUCUGCUCAUACAUAUUUCAAAUCCUUUAUUCUUUUUUUUUUUCACAGGCCUGUUUUCAUUUUUCUUCUAAAACAGUUACAGUAAAUCUCAGUGCCCUAAAGCAAACUCGUCUUCUACACAGUUUACUCUUGUUGACUUAAAAACAAGAAUCAUGAGGAAGAUUUGCCAGCCUAGCAUUUGCCAUGCAAAAUUUACAUGCAGCUGCUUUGAACUAAAUUCCCAGCAGAAGUGAGAGGAUUUUGAGGCUUCCAGAUCUUAGCAGGCUGGUGCUUUUUGCAGACAGAAAUCUGUAUGAUAUAUACUUCUCUAGAGAUCCCUCCCUGCCAGCUAGGACUGUACUAUCCUGCUCCAAUCCCAGGGAGACAUAUUAUCGGCUUAUGGGAGGGGAUGCUUCUGGACCAAGAAAGUUAAUUAGCUUUGCUUGGGAAUGCCUUCAACUGAAGUAACUGAUUAUAUUCUUGAGGGGAGGAAAAUUCUUAUCUUUAGAGCUGAAAACAGCAAAAACAUGCAAAUCUGUGCAAGUCUUGAUGCCCAUUUCUCGUCUGUGGGGCAGCACUCUUCUCACACGCAGGGCACAUUUUCCAGCAGUUCUGCAGUUGUUGUAUAUUGAAUCAUAAAUCUAGUCUUACAGAUGGAGAAAAUGCCCAGGAGUGUUUGAAGGCUGUUUUCAAAUCAGGUGUUGAUGAUUUCAAGUAAGAUAGUCCUACCUGCCUGAAUCCACUCCUCACAGUAGCUGAGAAUCUGUUGACACUGAUAGUGGUUUUUUUGGUAACGAAACCAUGAUCUAAUCCAGGAUCAGUGGUAAACAGGUGGUUAGCUGUUUAGGCAUGUAAGGUAGCUAAGGCAAUCAAGGUAGUGUAGUCCACUGACUUUUCCAGCAUUGGCACAAGCGACCUCUUCACUCUUCAGUGGCAAUGCUGACUUCAGCGUGUGGAAGCUCUUCUCCUUAGGAGCAAGAUCAAUUAAGUGCCCCAUAAAUCUUCUUAUGUAUUCCAUUCAUUCCUCAGAGAAGUAUCAUGAGGGUUAAUUAUUUCUCUGCUCUGACUCAGACAGUGAUUUCGUGCCAGAGGAUUCUGGCAGUAAGUAUAAUCCUAGUGAUACCCUCUGUGAGGAAACCAUUGUUAACAAUGUUGAUGAGGAAGCGCUAAUGGAAGCUGAACCGGAGCCUGAUAUAGAAAUCGAGAGACCUAAGGCAAACAAAGGGAAGAGGUUGGAAACCUUGCUGUUUGCUGCCUUCCGUAGCACAUCUUGUGAAAAAUAACUCAUUGUCUCCUUCCCCGUUCCCUCCCCACCCAAACGCAGACUGCAGAAUGCCUCUCCUCAGGCUGAGCUGUGCUGGAGGGAGGGAGAUGUGCUGCAUCGUUCCCUUAGGAAGCUGUGCAGCAAGGAGCAGGUUUCACACAGACCAAGUGUCUCUUCAGCAAAGCUGGGCUGCCAGGCAGGGGCUGAGUCCCCUGUCCUGCCCACAUUCUGGAGCGAGGCAUGGUCAGGCAGCACCGUGAAUUGUAAAUACAUUAGCCACGUUACUCCAUUAAGGACUAGUGCUGUGGAGCUAGAGGUUUUAUGAAUAAAGCACAUGUUCAGCUCUGUUCUUCUCUAUUAGUAUUUUGCAAAUGCAUGAUGAGGGACCAGCGAUGUCUGCCUGCUGACAGCUGUGCCAUGAGGGGCAAAAGGGCUCUCUGUGCGAGUAAGCAGAGGUAGGUACAGCCUAGCCUGUAAAAUUUCCAUUGUCCCAAAGAGAUUAUUUUCCUCUCCUACCCUCCUGUGGUUUCUGAGGCCCAGUUUAAAUGCAUACAAUGACAUAGUGUAGAUAGCUAUUUUCCAUACAUGGCAUUGGUUGUUCAGCAGGAAUCAUUCAUUGCUUUAAGGCAGUACUGGAAGGGAUUCUCUUCUACACUCUAAAAGAGAAGUGGGCAGGAUUAUCUUGGGUCACAUCCUUCUUCUAUUAGUCAAACGGUGAAACCAGACAUCUGAGUUGUUUCAGUCUGUGACCUUACCCUGUGCUUCCUGACAGAUCUCACAGCUUUUCUGUUGUCUCUAGUUUAUAUGCAGGAUUUUUCAGUCCCUCUGGCAAUCUGCAUUCCUUCUUGAGCUUUUCCUAGCAUCUUGGGCCUGUGGGAGAUCACAACCUUGCCUCGGUUCCUAUGUGUCUGCAUAGCUAACCACUUCACUAAUUCAAUGCCUUUCUCUGGACCCCCACCUUAGAGGUAUUCGUGGCCUUCUCCAGUGUUUCUUGAUGCUAUUCAACAUACCCAACAGCCUUUCAACUUGCAUUCCUCUUGGGGGCCUCCAGAAACAGAACAGUAGUCUCUAAUGUUUCUGGACACUGUGGCCCUUUAUAACAACCAGCAGUUUACACAUUUGUCAUUCAACUCACAAUCUGUUUUGCUGUUUCUGGCAUCUUACGGUUGCUCUCUCAUUCUCUAACAUGCUUAACCUUCUUUAGGCUCAGCAGCUGCUCCCAGAAGGUUCCUAAGGCUGGGGAGCUUUUCAGAUUCUCCCUCAUGCACUUCAGCAACGAAUGUCAUUAGCUCAGGUUUCUCUUUCUUUCCCGUUUCACGUUAUAAUACGUUUGUUCCUUGGCGUGUUUCUAAGUACUUCUGCAUUUUCCUUUAACAUUCCAUGAUCUCCUGCAGAACGUGUUACUCCCCAUUAAAUAUGGACGCUCUGUGACUUUAUUAUUUCAAACAUCCUUGUAAGCUAUACCCUGCAGUUGUAGCCUGUCUUCAUCAGACUGCAUUCAGCAACACUCCCUUGUUACUGAAUUCCCCAGACAGCUGACUGCCUUCUGUCCCCAGUAGUUCUCAGCCUUCUCUGUUUUUUAUCAUCAUCCUGGGGCCCAGUGCUUACAUUUUGUAACACUGUGAGGCUUUCUCAGACAGCUCCGUCGUGGUAACAUCUCCUCUGGUUUGCUGUAUCACCACAAGACCUUUCUUGACAUACAUCCCUUGUUCAACAUCUGUGAUGUCCUGCAGCACUACGCAGACUUUGCCUACAUCCUCAGCAACUCUCAUGGUUCUCUGAUGUCCCCUGGCUGCUAGCUGGCCCUGUUUGAUUUUCUCCAGCUGAACCACAGCUCUCUCGAGAUAUCCCUCUCUGUAUCAUCUACGAUCUUCACAGGCACCUCUGGCUCACUAAUGGUUAUUUCCACAUUUAUAUAAAGUUUGACUCAGGACAUUUGCACUCAUCUGGAAGUGCUAACAAUCAUGCAGAUAAAAACGACUCCAUUGUAAAGCAGCAACAUUUUUUUUAGCAACAUUUUUUUUUUUUUUUUAAGGAAAGCACACGGCUGUCUCAGGGAAUUCUGAGAGCAGGACACUGUUACAGCAUUUCCAGAAAUGUGCAUUGUCAGACUGAGUCUCUUCCUUAAACUACUAAGCAAGGUGUCUUAGGUACUGUAUCACAGUGAGCUUACUCAGUGUGUAAGGACCCUGUAAAGAGUAAGACUGGCAGAAUGCUGAAAAUUUGACCCAUGAUUGCAGUGCCUUUGCUUCUCUUUAAUAAGAUGGAUAUGAUCUUCUGAUGCAAAUCAAUCAAGUCAUAUUUUUACAAUACUUGAAAUAUUUGGAUGAUGGGUACUAUAGAAAUGCAGACUUUUGCUGUUCUUCUGUUAGACAUCUCUACCCAUAAUAAUCAAUACGAGCAUCCUGAGUUGGCCCUGGUAAGGCAAUUUUUACAAAACCUAUUUGAUGCUCAAAGUUUCCAAACAAGGAGAAAGAAUAAUUUUGAACAUGAUGAAGCUGUGGAAUUGGCUUCACUCUGAUAUCACCCCUCUUGAAAAUAUCUGAGCGUGAAAUAAUACUAAUUGCAUUUCUUAUUAGCUAUUCGUGUAGUAGCAUCACCAUCGCUGUACUCAUCUCUCUUGGUGUAAUGUAAGCUAACUGUAUCCGUUCUACAUGGACAUCAUUACAAAGUGGAUUUUUCUUCAUAAACAUUUGAGCUCUCCAUCACGUUUCUGUACUUUGACUCUCUCCUCAUCCCCGGUGCUUUGAUUCCAGUAAGAAUCCUAAAGUGAGUUUGUUCUUGUAGUUUGUCAUGUGCAAACAUGCACACUCAUUCCUGGUUUCCACUCAUAACGACUACAAAAAGAAUCCACGUGCCAUAAACUUUACAGUGGUGCGUUACAGUUUUACUUAGUUCCUUAGUCAACCCUGCUUUUAGUUAUUCCCAGCAUUGAGUGCCCUGUUUAACUAUGUAAGGGUACGUGCUUGUGUGCUUACUUUAUUUCUUUUGCUGCUUAAGUUCUAAAGCAGUCAACAGUACUUUAAAUAUGGAUUUAUUACUGCUUGUGUACCAGUGAACUGCAAGGGAGGAGAAUGUUACUGGGAACAGUGGGGUCAUUUUCUUUCUGCACGAAAGCUCUGUUUAGCAGAAGGGGAAGAAACCGAACCUGACGCCAGCUAUUUUUGCACUAGCCAAGUCCCGUCAUCAAAACUGCACAGGAACUGUGCUACCUUAACUCUGCAGUAGGGUAAAAUCUGCUUAAGAUUGCAGAUGUGUGCUUCCAUAGACCUCUGGUCCAUCCCUUUCCUUCCCUUUCUCCCCUCUCCUCAGCCCCUUCUGGGACAAGGGCAGAAGCCAUCCCCACCAGGUGGAUGCCAUCAGGUGAGCUCUGGGAUGGUCACUCUGUGACCGUUCUGCAGAAGCCAAUUCAGCACCUGAUCCGCAUUCAGUCACAGCAUAGCUGGGUUUGUUUUUUUUUUAUUGUGAAAGCUGAGCUGGACAUGGUAGCUUUUAAAACCUGGAAGAUUUUGGAGAAAGAGAGAAGCAACACAUGCUGAAUAUAGUUUCUGUCGCUCUUGCAUUGGGUGGAUGUUUGUUUUCCCAUUUUUUCCUUGUAGGAAUUUCUCUGGAGUGAAGGAUUUCCUUGUGAGUGCUGAGGGGCAUGGCUGGCUUCUUUCCAGGUACAGGCUGUCAUUGUAGCACAGAGACUGGAGAAUAACCAUAGAAUAACUUGGGAUCGAGUAGACCUCCAGAGAUAAUUUGCUCCAAACUCCACUCCAACCAGCACCAAUUAUAUAAGACUGCUCUUUGAUAAUCCAUCUAAGAUAGAUGGCCCGUGGAGAAAACAAAGCCUUUGGGUUUACAUUAGAAAAACAUGUCUUAAACUUCUCAUGAGCAUAAACCUCUCCUGAAUCAUUUGUCUUCCCAAGAAUUUCCCGAGCGCAGCACUUCUUCCUGAGCAGCUAACCACCUCUGACCGACAGCAGCAGCUCAGAUUCCUCCAAGGUGAGGGAGUUGGAAUUAAUUGUAAUGAACUCGCUUGCAGUGCGAAUGUGUUCCUUGCCUUGGCAGCACUGCACUGCAGUGAGCAGCUAGAUGAUCUUGCAUAAGUGCUUACAGCCAGCGCUCAUGGCCACAGCCCGGAGGAAAUGGGCAUCGCCUAGUAAGCAGUUUUUUCACUCUCUUCUUUCUAUACUCCAUAUUCUUGCUGUGAUUGACCUCAGUUUAUGGUUUAUACUUAAGAAAGAAAAAUAUUUUCUUCUAUCUUAAAUAUGACUAUUUGAAUCCUCUUGCAUUGGAAAGUACAUUCUGAGCUGCCUAUGGUUAAGCACAGGGUUGAAGGAGGGUGUUAGCAAGCAGGUUGAGCCACGGCUUGUUGCAAAAUUAAGUUUUUUAUUUGUCUUGCUUCGUAAUUUGCCUCGUGGUUGAAAUAGCAGCAUUACCUCUAGCAGUGCUCAUUCUGCCUUUAGCCUCUCUAUUGAUACUGCUAACAAUGUGAGCCAUCUAUUUUUGUGAGCGCCUUGUGACAACCGGCUCAAGUGACACGAGGCACCAAACGCAUCUAGGCGAGGCUCAGAAUAAUAAUGUACAGCAAGAAGUCUCCAUGUUCAAAUAGCAACUGCAGGUUAAUCUGGACCGAGUGUUUGUCCUUCAGCUUCUGGUCUGCAUGACAGCUAUUCACUUGAAAUAGCAUUUCAGUGGGGGAAAAAAAGAAAAAGGAAGAUGUCCCUCAUGACAGUGCUUUCAGCCAACCUUUGGAAGGCAUUGGUUUACCCUUAACAGGAAAGGUGCAGCCUCUCUGAAGGACCCAUCUCAUCCGUCUUUGGUACCCGUGAUGUUAUGAAGCAGUUUGGAGAAGUGCAGAAUGACUGCUCUGAAUGCAGCUGAAGUGGAGGAGUGUUAAGGAGAGCUAGGUAUAAUUACCUGAGCUGGAGCUCAGCCAGCACGGUGCUGAUCUGCGGAACAGGAAAGUCCUGACUCUGCACAAGGGAUCCAGGCAGAUUUGAAAGAAACUGCAAUAACACAGGUGGGAUUUGAGUAUCUGGGAAGGUAUUUGAGAGUGAAUGAACCCCCAGCUAUGACCUACCGGGAGCGUGACAGGAAACAAAGCAGCUAGAUCAAGAACAGAGGAGUAUAACGGCAGUAUAUGUGGCACAGGCUGCCUUAUACGCAGUCAGCGCUACCUGAUAAAACUGUAAGCAUUUAAGAGAACUAAAUUCUUGGAGUUCAUUUAACCCUCUACCCAAUCCGAAUGACAUGAGCACAGAGGAAAACAAGACAAGUUAUCUCUCUUUUGCCCUUAAAUAGCGAUGAAUAAGAACUGAGUCAGAGCUGAAAAUUAUGGUGCGUCCUUAAGGUAACACCAGGUUAAUUAGCCAUCAUAAAAGGAGAGCUUGUGCAGGAGGAAGGAUUUCUCCCUGCUGGGACACUCCUUGACUGAGGAGACCUGGUCUUACCUGGAAGGAUGUUACCUUUACCUCCAUAGUCCUUAAAGGGCAGUUAUUCUACCACUUAGCCACAAACUCCAGGCUGCUUCAGCACUGAGCAAGCUUUUCAUUUCUCCUUCAUUGAAACCAAGCCUUCGCAAAUCAGAAAACUGAUACAAGCGACAGAAGGAUGAUAAGGGGUUUGCUGCCAGCCGCGGUUCAUUUUAAGGUCCUCCUCUGCUUUUCGUUGUGUUUGCUGGGAGCUAAACGUGUACUCAGGUGGCUGCCAUUGAUCUGAUUGUCCGCAAAGCUUUUCGGUGCUUCUGAACUUUCUCUUUCAGGCAUUCUAAAUGGUUCAUCAGUUUUGUCAAAAAAAAAAAAAAAAAGGAAGAAAAGUGAUUUAAAAAGGAAUGCAAAUGGAAACGUGGAGAGCCGGUGGAUGGGAGCAGGGAAGGUGGCUCGGAAAGCAAUGUGAAAAACAAGGAAAUGAAAUGAGGGCCUGACAGGAAAGUGGGGCGUGAAGAAAUCCAAGCAGGACAGCAGAAGGGGUUUGAAACUCUGCCUUUUUCUCACUGGAAGGUUUUCUCUUUUCUUACUUUCUCUGAGCUCUUUUUUUCCCCCCUUCAGCUCAUUUGUUUUAUGCCAAGAGGCUUAUUUGUCUUUCCUGGCUUAUUGGUGGUGUAUCUGGAUUUAACCGCCAUGAUAAAUCAGCUCCUCCAAAGACUGAGAUCUCAGCAUGCAAAUGAGGAUGGAUUUUCAGCUAAUUUAAACUGAUACACAUCUGAUGAAGCAACGUUCAGCCACGUGGAAUUCCAGUGCUUGAGCAAAUGCAUAACAAUGAACAUGAUUCCCCGUCAACGUGUCAGAAAAAGCCAUCGUCUGCUUCUUCCAAAGAGAUUAUUUUCCAUUUGAAGCACACACCUAUAAAUGUCUGCAUUACGCAGUUUAGAAAGGUUAAGCAUGGAAAGGUGUUAUGCUGACACAUAGGCUCCAAGGGCUUGUCUUCUACUGAGCGUAUUACUUUUGCAAAGCAGUAAACCUUUCAUUAUUUUUAUCAGCCCGAAUGUGUUGUCCGAAUUGUGUUUGAUUUGCUUUCCGAGUACCGUGUGUGCUUACUCUGCUUUAGCCGACAAAUGUGAGCCAGGGUCAGAUUGCAAGCUCAGACAAUAGUCUGCAUUUCUCAGCACCUUGCAGGAUUUGGCCUUUCAAUGGUAUUUUUUCCCCCUAUUUAUUAUUGAACACAGAACGAGAGUGCCGUGGAAUGGAUUUGUCUUGGUCGCUGUUCUAAUAUAAGUGGCUUGGACUCUGCAAAAUACAUUUUAAAGGCAGCUUUGCUUCUGAUCUUAGGAAAAGAACUGAUGGGAUUUGGUUCAGCACCGCUACUUUAAAACAAAAAAAGAGAUAAUUAGAAUCCAAGUUUCAGUCGUGCUGCCUUAGAAAGCGAAACAAAAUCAGUAACAAUCCGAAAUCGUGCCCCUUUUGCUUCUUCUCGCUGUAGCAGAGAAUGCCCAGUUCCCUCAAACGUUUCUUAGUGGUGAGGAAUGAGCUGGCAGGAAGGACCUCAGCCACACCUCAGUUCCUUCGUGGAAAGCCUGGUUGCCUACUUUAACUCACCUCGAUUGGAUUUGCGACUGGAUUUGCACUGCUUUGAGGUGGAAGCGUGGCCUUCCUGCCGGGUACCCUGCUGAGAGCCUCCAUGAGAGGGAUGGAGCAGCCAGGGGCAUUUGGUGCUCCCCAGCAAUGCUCAUCCGUCGGGGAUGAGGGUGACACCUGCGUGGCAACAGUAAGGUAGGCCAGAAUGGGGGCAGGGCCUUGAACAGCAAAGCCAAUGAGGAUAUGUAUGUGUGGGAAUAACAGAAUGUUUUAGGAUCCAAAGAAAAAAAUCAUGUGGUGAAUGAAGUGAUAAUUUAUUGCAGAGCUACAGUUCAAAAGCAGUAUCUGCUGUGAAGUGGCUCACCGAUUUCAGACCAGGUCCUGGUAGGAUGUCGAUGCUGAUCAGGCUACAGGUUCUCAGCAUGGCAUGGAGCGGGCUGUUGUGGACAAGGCUGGCUCUGUCCUGGCCAGAGCCAUCAUGCUGGGCAGUGAGAGCUGCAAGGAUGAGGGCCGAGCAACCUGCAGACGCUGAGUUAUAAAAUCACCUUUCAGGCGGCAAGUGGGACGAAUAACCAAGACAAGCAGAAAAAGAUUUGUGUUUUUAUUGUUUUAUACCCAAGGUUCAAGUGCCACACCAGUGGUGCUUCAGCCUUCUGUUAUCUCUGAGUACAGGAGAACUGCAGCUGGAAUAAAAGUGCAAGGGCUAGGCUGAAUCUACCACCUGCUGCUAGUGUAACAAGCAUUAAACAUCUGAGGCCUGAUGCUGAGCUCCAGGCAGGGCGCCUCUGACUAACUGGUGUUCCUUCUUGCCCUUCAGUCCAGCUGGAGACCCAAUGUUUAGGCAUGUAUUUUCUCAGUUUGUUAUUCAGCUUAUUCCUGGCUACGAGCUAAAUACAUUUGUCCAGCAAACUGCGUGCAAUUGCUCCAGGAACUGCUGAGCUCCCGUCUUUUUGUUGUGCUGCUGAAAAUCAAAUUACAUAGGUCUAGCAACAAAGCUAUAAUUAGGGUCAAUGGAAAACUGCGGGUAGGGUAAUACUGUGGAUUCUGCAAUUUUUGCCAUGUUGCUCCAUAACAGGGCAGAACCUGGUAGUUUUAUUGCUCCACAGCGCAUUAACGCUGUCAGUAAAAUGUCCCCUGCUUCCUGCAGUGGAACCGGCCCUUCAGCAAGCGCAUUGCCUGGGCUGGCCUCAAUCUGUGGUAAUCUACCGGUGUGGCCCAACUGCGCUCCUCCUGAAGUCGAUGGCAAAGCUCCUAUUCGUUUCAGCAGGAGCUGGGCAGGUCUAGGCAGAGAAAAUAGGAAUGGAUCGGGAAGAUGAUAGAGCAGAGCUGACAGGAAAAGAAAGCAGGCUAUCGUGUUUCAUUAUAAUCUCUGCAGUUAUCACUGGAUUUCAUACUGAUACCACCAGGAGCUUUGUUCAUAGAUUAAAAUUAUGUUGUAACUAAUAUUUAAUCAGUACUUUUUUUUCUUCCUUCUCCAUCACAGGAAGAAAAUGUCUUCUCUAGGCUACUGCCACUCCUGCCUCUGGGUUCCUCUUCUUCCUCCUCUCUUUUUUCCUCAGCUUUUCCAUCAUCCUCUCAAUCACAUCCUUCUUUCAUCCAUUUCCAGAUCUUGCUUCUUGGUGGGCUUCUUCCUCUCCCCCUCUACCAUUCCAGCCUCCAGAUAAUCAGCUGUCGACUCACUAAAUACUGACUGCAUCGUACCAUUGCUGGCCCUCUCAGGCAGGAGAGGUUCAGCUCUUGAGAUCAUUCUUCGAGGAUGUCAGCAAACUCGGGUAAAUGUCGUAAGACUGAUGUCACGGUUGGAAGGCUGCCCACAAAUGGUUUUUAUCAAUAUUUCUUUAAAAAGAAUAAAGUUUGAGCUCUUGUGACUGUAGAGGUGGUCUGAAUAUGUCAUAUGGGUUUAAAUAAUUUCAAAGAUAAUGUGAUUUCCAAGAUUCAUUCCUCAUGACAGAAGAGGAAAAUAAGAAUGAAAAUGGAAAAGGACAAAAAGAAAGAGCUAAUUGUGGGGGAAAAGCGCGGAAGUAGAAAUGGAAAGAAAAACAGCCAUGGAGAAGGGUGAGAAAUACAGAGUGCUCACUUCUUUUUUUUACUGAAAAGUGUGAAACUAAAUGAAAGAAAAGAAACAAAAGCCUAAAGAUUGUAGGAAAAGAAAAAAAAAAAAAAGAAGAAAGACAAGUGAGAUAAGCUGGAGAUUGGGACUGAAUUCAAUUCCAGCCCUGCAGAGAAAAGUUCCAGCUAUUGAAUUACGGUCUAGAUUCUUUAGAUUGCAGCGUUGUAAGUGAAUAGAUUGGCUCUCUUCUGUGCUUACACAACACCCCCCGACUUCGGGCCUACCACCACACGAAGGCUUACUGAUGCUAAGAAUAAAAGGUUGAAGUAAUUCCUAUGCACUGGAUGACUCGGAGGAACCUCUGCAUGAAGUGGCAGAAAUAAAGACCGUAUUAAAAUGCAAGUGGUCAAAGCAGAUGAGCAAUGGUUGCAAGGUCAACGUCAAUUCCUACCCAGCUCCUUGUCACAUAGCACAAAUUUAAUCUGAGCUUGUCCAUUCUUGACUGAACAAAUGCAAAACGAUUUUCAGAGGUUUGGCCAAAUUGAGAGGCUCACUGUAUGGACAGCAAAAUGUACCUCCUUGAUGCCAGCAUUACUGAUCCCUUCAUACUUUAGAUUAAGGAUAUACUAGGAUUUCCUACAUAUAUAUAUAUUUUAUAUAUAUAUAUAUAUAUAUAUAUAUAUAUAUGUUAAAUUUUAAAGGCAAAGUGGUAUCUUUUUCUCCUAAGUUGGUUACUUUGGCUAGAAUUUUCCAAAAAUAUUGAGAUGAUGUCAAUAUCCUGAACUACAAUAAUAUAACGCUUAAUACCUGCCAAUGUUCUAAGUAGCUGAAAACAGUGACUUAUAAGGAAAACUAAAAACCUCAGCUACAGAAAGCCUAGUGUUCCUGAUCCAUAAUGUCACAAUGUACACUUACUUCAUAAAUUCCAGCCAAAGAGCACAGUUCACCCUAAAUGCAUUUGCCCUCUCUCGGCCUGCUGUGAGGGUGAGGUUACCACAAGGUACACAGCAGCAGGGCUCGGGACAUGGGAGGAGGCAUUCAGAACCCCACAUGGGAAGCAGGAGAGAGCAGCAGACCCUGUGGUAUCUUGGAUGCCAGUUUCAUGCUUAAUGCCAUCAUUCUCUCCCUGCUGGUUUCAUGAAUUAGCAGGAACUGAAGUGUAGUGUGUACAUUCCAGUUGUGCCAGGGAAUGCAGCCAUCAGCAAGGUCUCCCUGUGACAUACAUUGCGCAGACGCACACUAUUAUUUUCCCAAAGGCUUUCACGACUCGGGACUCCAUUUACUGUUGUAUCACUUAUGCCAGCAAUCGAUUCAUGCAUGACAGAGCCCAGCCUACUCAGAGAUCCUGAAGACUUGGAGGAUCGUGGCUUAAAAGAUUAAGUUAAAAAUUAACUCGUGGCAGCUUUUGCUGAAUUCACCUCACCAGCUGAUUUAUCAUCUAGCACAGGACCGUGGCUGUCUUUGAUUUAUGUCCAAAACAGAAGAGUGGUUUUUUCCAGCUGUUGUGACAUCCCAAGGCUAUGCAUGUGUACAUAAAAUGUAUGUAAAGGAGAGGAGCUCUGUUUUCCAAGUGUGAAAGGGAAACAAUUCUGACUCAGAGCAUACGUCAUCAGCAUCCCUUGCCCUUUGUUCCCAAACAUGGUAAGGAGCAAUAGAGCAGUUUGUGGGCUACAACAUGACAUCAUGCAAGAAUGCACAGCUCUCAUUUUUUUAUGCAUAUAUGUAUAUAACAAUCUCAGUGGAGCAUCUAAAGAAUUAAGGGUUAUGAAAUAUCAGGCAACAGCAACAUCUAAAAGGUAAAUGACACAGCGGAUAGGAAUCUCCCUUCAAAUCGCACAGCACAUGCAACCAUUCUGGUCUGUGACAACUACACCACUAGAGUUUUUUCCAUGUUUAUCCAAAGUAGCUUAGUAAGCAUAUCAUGCAUUCCAUUCACUGAGCGUGUGUACAAAAAUACAGGGUAUGAUGACCCUAAGCAGCAUCUGUAGUGCCUGCAAGCUUGUCAGAAAAGAGAAUGGCUGAUGUUGCUGCUGCUGUAAACUAUUUCAAUGAGUUUUUAUAACAGAAGUGGUAGAAAUAGCUCCCAUUCAACUGCGGCUAUGCAGCUGUUACUUCAGUGGAGCUGUACCUCUGUCACUUUGUUAUAAAAAGGUAAGAGCUGUGCUCCUGCUCUGUGAGCUAAUGAGAAAAGGUUGUCAAGAAUGGCACAAGGCACAUGUAUUAUUUUCAGUUUAGAACGAAUCCAUUUAUCUUUUGUGUUUGCUAAAAAGGGCGAUUUCAGGGUUUUUCUGGUGACUGGAAAAAAGUGUAAUGCAAGAUGCAGGCUUCCUUCUGUCCCAUAUGUCUUAAGUAUACAAAGCUUUUUUUAGAGAAUAGCUUUCUUUCAGGGCGAACUAGCUCUUACUAAAAAUAAUCCUUAUGAGAUCAGAUAAAAUGAGAGGAAUGUUGCUGGCACAUACUGGUACCUUAUUUACAAAAAAAAAAAAAAAAAAAAAAAAGAAGAAGAAGAAAGAAAGAAAGAAAAAAUGGCUAAAUCAACCUAACCCGUGCCUGUAGUACAAGGAAGGAGCUGAAGAACUGUCCCCAUUGCGCAGGAUCUUGGUUGAAGGCCGAGAGCUAUUUUGGUUGCUGUGGUCUGCGGGCAUGGAGAUGUAAAGCAGGAGGAACAAGGCCAGCACAAACAACCCCACCCACCCUAACCCCAUGGGACCGGCUGCAGAGAUGAGCAUGGCCAUGUGCUGGAGAUCUCUCAAUGCAUGGGGAUGAUCCAUGCAUCCUUCUGAGGCCUGGGCCUUCCAUCUCACGUGACUGUGAAUUUGCUUUAACCACAACCACAAAGCACAACAGGAUCCCUUAGACUCCUCAGAUGAAAGGCUUAUUUCAAGAUAUUUCCUGUUGAGUAACCGAUGCUGCUGCUGCUGAGAGGAGCAAUGCACAGAUGGCUGCACACUGAGUGAAGAGAUCGGGUUUUUGCACCCAGGACCAGGAACAUAGAAUCAUGGAAUCAUAGAAUCACUAAGGUUGGAAAAGACCUACGGGAUCACCCAGUCCAACCAUUCACCCAUCACCAAUGGUUCUCAUUAAACCAUGUCCUUCAACACAACAUCCAAACGUUCCUUGAACACCUCCAGGGUCGGUGAGGUAGGAGCUUUGAAUAACGCUGCAGAACAAUAGUGGAGGCCUUGGAGAAGCUGAGCUAUGGGAACACUGACAGAUCUUAUUUAGUGACGUGGAGCGGUUGGUGUUUUAGGAACAGGCGAUGUCUGAAGAAGCCCAACAUAAAGCUGACAACUAUUAAGAGGGUGAAAGCACAGGGAAGGUUGCAUUUACCUAAGCAUAACAGAAAGGGAGAAAUGGGGAAAGUUAGACCAGGAAGAACUUUCUGAUAGCAAAAUGUAUUACAGAUGUUGUAAGGUUGGUUUUUGAGCAAAACCCUUGAAAUAAUCUAUCAGGAAGAGUCCUUUACUGUUUUUUUCCUAUCUCUAUUUACUUUGCUGCUCUCCAGAAGAAGAGCAAUGCUUUCUUACAGUCAGUUAGAAACCCCAGCAUUCAGCAAGUGUUUGAAAAAGGCCACGGCCCUAUGAAAACUGAUGUUUCUUGAAUCUAGACUGUCCAGCAGCACUUUCUAGUGAAUGGUAUGCUCAGAAAGCAGUGGGUGGACCACAGUACCCAAAUUCCUGGCUGUACCAUGCCAGUCUGGCAAAUAACCAGUAUGAGUGGCUCAGAAAAACACUAGGAAAUAGGGAACAAGAUGGUUCUGUUCUGUCUGGGUCUGGAGGAAGCAGGAAAACAUCCAUCACUGUUUAUGUGAUUGUAUUUAUGAAACGUGGGAGCUAAACUAACAGAGGAAGUGGAGAACAAACACACAGCAGAGACAGUGAAUGUUGUUGGUAGUGGUGCAUAGCCCUGAGAGUGUGACUUAGGGCCAGUUGUAAGGAAUUCCUUCUCAAUGGUGUUAAGAUAAGAGUGUAUCUUAGUUUUGAAAUUGCUGCUAACUAGUUAUAGUAAUAAUAACGGCAUGUGUUAGUGUUGUAAUCUCUUAAAAGCUCAUUUCUUCGUGUCUUUUUAUAGAGAUGUUAAUUCAUUUGGCAAACAUUUUUGUGAUGUUCUUUCUAAAAUACUGAAGAAGAAUAUCUUUGCAACUGCUGCUUUGUAUAUUUUGGGUCUCAUGCAUGAUUUAUCACUUACUAAAUUUGAACUCCAAAUUAUGGAGUUGGCUUUAGCUAUUGCCAGAAAGCAUAAUCUGCAGUGCUGGAAAGGAGUAAAGAGGUUAUCAUCAUCUUACUCGAUUUCUACCUUUAUCGGAACAAUAUUUUUAAUGUAACUUUCUUCCAACCUCGUAGUCAACAGAUGCUAACUCACAAUAGCAAAAGUGCUGUCAUUUAACUAUAAUCGGGACAUUAUUUUUGUUGCAAGUUAUUCCAACUUUGCAGUCAGUGGAAACUAGCAAGCUAUAGUAAAAGUGUUGUCAUUCAUCUAUAACUGGGACAGUACUUUUAUCGUAAGUUAUUCCAACUUUGCAGUGAAUGGAAACUAACCAGCAAUAGUAAGUGUGUUGUCAGUCAUCUAAAAUAGAAGGGAGAAGAGAGGAGAAAGAUGGUUGAAAGACGGAACGUGUUUGUAAUGAAGUCAGAGUUAGAUAUUCCCGCUGUGUCACAGUGAGUAUUGCAGACAUGUUCCUUUUGUUUGUUUGUUUGUUUGUUUGCCCAUUGGAGAUAAACUACCAAGUAGCUUAAAACUGGUGAAAUUUGAUACAGGCUUCCGACUCCUUUGGCAUCUGUCUACUUGAACUGUGACAGAAGGACAGGGUAUGGUGCAGCCAGAAAUGCCUUGCCAAGCCAAAUCCCGGGCAGCAUUGAGGCCAAGAAGCAAGGUAUGCAGCUGUUUGCACACCUCAGUGCUGUUUCAGCUGGAAUGUAGCAGGUAACUGACAGCAGCUAUCCGAUAUAAGUGUUGUAGAAGUAGCUUGGAUAUGGAGGCUGCAGGGCAGACAAAACUUUAAGAGUAAUAGCUCUUUUAGGCAGGAGGCGUGCCUUUGUUUUCUUCAUGCUACAAGUGCACUGUAGGCACUUAGCAAUUAUUAAUAAUAGCUAAUUAAUAAUGGCUCAAAUCCUUGGCUGUAGUUAAGGAACUUAAAACAUAACUCAUACGGAGUUGUAAGAAAAGAUGGCUCAAAACCAUCUUAACCAAACCCUGGGCCAGCUUUGUGCCUGGACUUUCCUCCAGCAUAAGAUAAAGCAGCAGAGUACAAUUUGUUCUAAGACAUUAGCAAGGGAGAGCAAAGAACAUAAUGAAUGCAUUUUAUCGGUAAUGCGUAAGGAGAAUGCAGACUGGUGGCAAAUAAGACCAUUAGGGGAUAAAAGUAUAAAAUUAGAUGGAAAGUAAGAGAUGAGAUUGGUGUGUCACAGUG
Long non-coding RNA from Gallus gallus (chicken), 24019 nucleotides. RefSeq lists it as uncharacterized. The record is from RefSeq and is a predicted model, not a curated record. The transcript has 3 exons. Lineage: Eukaryota; Metazoa; Chordata; Aves; Galliformes; Phasianidae.